AUGGUGUAACAGUGUUUUGUGUGUCCAUGGUGAGGUUGCAGACCUUUAUCGAGGUCACAGAGCAAGUCCAGCAAGAGUUGAACACAGGCUGCCAGAAUUCCACCCUUGUCUCAUUCCGAGAUUGUGUGCUGAGGGUUUUCAACUGCAUCUCUAAAGGGAAGGCCAAAGAAAGAGCAACAGGAAAGGAUGGUAAAAAGGGGGUAGAAAGGAAGAAGGAAGGGAAGAAAAAAGGGAAAACAGCAAGCUCUCUUUCCAGAGCCACACAUUUUUUUCUGUUUGCUCAGUGGCAGUCUGUUAAAGAAAUACUUCAUUGUCACUGAACACAGAGUCAUUAAAGGCACCUUGGAAAUUUGGACCCUUUUACUAGAAUCAGGGCUUAAAUAGCAACUUAAUUUAUGACACUUCUCGAGGCUGAUGGCGUUUUUGCUCUAAGGCACACAGAGCACUGCAUUAUCUGUCAUUUUCAUUAGAUUCAAGCUACAGCUGGGCCAAAAAGACUUAGUUCUAGCAUAUGUGCUCAAAAUGGCCAAGCUGCGAUUGUCCAAAUUCACCCUUUCAAGAUUGCAUUACUGAACAACUGGAGCCAAAGCUAGAAAUUGGAGAGAGCAAAGCGCCUGAAUUCCACUUGGAAAAUGGCAAACACCAUAGGCUCUGAAGAUUGAAGCGUAUUAUCAUGACUAACUCAAAGGGUCAGAGGAGACACUGGCUUCCACCAGCAAGCUCAACGUCUUUUGGCACAUCUGAGGUGGGGAUGGAAGCUGCAAGAGCCUAGAUUUUGACACCACUUAACAAAGAAAAGCCAAUGUCUUUCAUUCCCCUCUGUGCCUUUCAGUAUACCUUGGCCAUGUGGAAUGCAAUAGGUUCUGUACCCAGGUCUUGACCUGGGCCAGCUGGUCUUGAGCCCCGUAGGACGUAGUCUGUGGCCUGCUGCAUACUUGGAUAGUGUGGGGUGUAUAAAAAGCAACUCAUCCUGAGGGAGAAAAGCAUCCAACUGUCAUAAGCUUGAGUCUCCAUGCAAGUCUCCACUAUUUUAUAAAUUCAGUUCUUUAUGUGAACAUGCGAAGAAGACAUAUUGAAAAAUUAGCCCCACAAAGAAAUAAAUACAAAAAUCCCCACUCCAGGUUGCUGGAAAUGGGAGAACCACAGGGCUGGGGAAGAUGGUCACUCCACCCAGUGGACUUCAUGUUAUUUGAAGCAGACAUUGAAAAAAAAAAGAGAGAGAGAGAGAGAGACUAGUUGUUCAAGCAGAGAAAAAGAAAGUAAAAAGGCCAGUGGGAAUGUAAAAUAGUGCAGCCACUGUGGAAACAGUACAGGGGUUCCUCAAAAUAUUAAACAUAGAAUAACCAUAUGACCCAGCAACUCCGCUAUUGGGUCUAUACCCUGAAGAAUUGAAGAGAUACUUGUACACCCAUGUUCAUAGCAGCAUUAUUCACAAUAACCAAAGUGGAAGCAACUCAAGUGUUCAUUGGUAGAUGAAUAAAUGAAUAAAUAGGCAAAAUGCCAUAGAGACAAAGUAGAACAGCACUCCCAAGGGCUGAGAAGAAGGGGGAAUGGAGAAUUACUGUUUAAUUCAGGGUUACUGGUACAGGGUUCCAGCUGGGGAAGAUGAAAGGAUUCUGGAGAUGGAUGGCAGUAAUGAUUAUACAACAAUAUGAAUGCACUUAAUACCACUGAGUUGUACACUUAAAAAUGGUUAAAAUGGCAAAUUUCUUAUUAUGUGUGUUCUACCACAAUGAAAAAAAAGGAGGUUUGUGUCUGGUCCUGGAGACACAGACUCCCUGAGUCUGUGCCGCAGCAACACCGAGCAAUGCUGUGAUCUUCCAGAAUGCCAGUAAGGGUGAGCCCUUGGCCAUGUGUCCUUUGAGCGAUGUGCAAAGUUCCAAAGACAGAAGGAAUAUCUGGGAUUUGGUUAUGAGGAUAUAUGCUGCCCUAGAAUUGUCCCAGGUUUUCAUGCCAGGGUGGAGACCUCACACACCAUGGUGGCAGGGGAUUUCUGCAGGGAGAAGUCUGCUGACAAACCCAUCUUAUGGGUUCUGGCAUCUUGGCCACAGACAGCAGUCAGCUGUUUUUCAUCUGCACUGCUAAUAGGGUCUAGCUGAAUGGCUAACAAGCAAGGUGAAAUGUAGCAUGAAUGUUUUGAAAGCCAUGGAGCCUCACUUUGGGUUCAGGAGUAGCAAAACUAGCAAGAAGGUCACUGUUGCUGAUUGGGGACAAAUGUGAUGAGUGUUGGGGGCUUAAACAACAGGGAUGUAUUUUCUCACAGUUCAGGAGGCUGCAAGUUGGAGAUCAGGGUGACAGCAUGAUCAGGUUCGGGUGAGGGCUCUCUUCCUGACUUGCAGACAAGCACCUCCCUGACCUGCCUUGCAAGAAAUGUUAAAAGAAGUGCUUUAGAGAGCAGGGAAAUUCUAUAGGUCAGACACUUGGAUCUACAUAAAAAAAGGAAGAAACCAAAGGAGAAAUAAGUGAAGGCAUGGAAACCUUGUUCCACACAUUGCCUGGUGCCCUGUCCAGCGCUGCAAGGUGCACUGCGUCUCCUCUGCCCAGCAAGCCACAAGCCCCUCCAGGGUGAGAGGAGAGCCUUCCCUUCCCUUGGUCCUCCCUUCGACACAGGGAGCUGGAGCUGGACAGCCCCAUAGGCACUCAGGGCUUGAAGAAGAUAUCUAGAAAUGUCAAAGCAGAAGAGCCUCGGAGAUAAUCUGAACUAUUUCUGAGUUUAUAUAAGGGAAAACUGAGACUGGAGAGAACUAACAUGUCUAAUAUUACAAUGGAAACUUGUAAUAAAACCACAAAU
Molecule: long non-coding RNA, 2791 nt
Filed under: Homo sapiens (human)
Lineage: Eukaryota; Metazoa; Chordata; Mammalia; Primates; Hominidae
Description: HSALNT0397229
Source: RNAcentral